RNAcentral lists this ribosomal RNA (420 nucleotides) under Chelator insignis. RNAcentral's name for it is "partial large subunit ribosomal RNA". It matches the Rfam family "Archaeal large subunit ribosomal RNA", at positions 2021 to 2666 of the family's 2987-position model. The record is from RNAcentral. Lineage: Eukaryota; Metazoa; Arthropoda; Malacostraca; Isopoda; Desmosomatidae.
GACCGUGCUAAGGUAGCAUAAUCAUUUGUUCUUUAAUUAAGAGCUAGAAUGAAGGAGCUGACGACGCUUAAACUUUUAAGCUAGAUUUAUGGAACUUAAUGUUUGCUUCAAAAAGAGCAGAUAAGCUAGGGGGACGAUAAGACCCUAUAAAACUUUAAUUUUAAGGUGUGUGUAAUAUUUAGAAUAAAAUAGACACUUAAAUUUAAGCUGGGGCGGUAAUUAAAGUACAUUAAGAAGAUUAACACAGUUAAUGAUAUUAAGGAUCUCAUUAAGAGAUAGAACAAGUUACUUUAGGGAUAACAGCACAAUUUUUCCAGAUAGUUCACAUAAAAGGAAAAGACUUGUGACCUCGAUGUUGAAUUAAGGUGUCUUAUUUAAGCAAAAAUAAAUAAAGAGGGUCUGUUCGACCUUUAUUUCCUU